GAGUGGCUGGUACUGGUUGUUUCUUUCUAUGUUUAGUGCUUCUUUCAGGAUCUCUUGUAAGGCAGACCUGGUGUUGACGAAAUCUCUUAGCAACUGCUUCUUUACAAAGAAUAUUGUUUCUCC
Long non-coding RNA from Sapajus apella (tufted capuchin), 123 nucleotides. RefSeq lists it as uncharacterized. The record is from RefSeq and is a predicted model, not a curated record. NCBI's taxonomy places the organism in Eukaryota, Metazoa, Chordata, Mammalia, Primates, Cebidae. The transcript is spliced from 3 exons.